This 434-nucleotide unclassified non-coding RNA is filed under the name Bombus terrestris (buff-tailed bumblebee). RNAcentral's name for it is "misc RNA ENSBTSG00005032413.1". Lineage: Eukaryota; Metazoa; Arthropoda; Insecta; Hymenoptera; Apidae. The record is from RNAcentral.
GUUUCAAUCAAAUAGCCACAAAUCUACAGGCAGCUGACUACUGUCCGCUGUUACACCUCGAAAAUGAACCUCGAGGACACAGGAUCAAAGGACUACGACUGGUGCUAAAAGACGAGCCAGCCUUGGGCAACGUACGAAAGAAAAUGAUGAUAGAAGAAAGAUCAUCCCACGGAUUCGUGAGAUCGUCCGAAAGCUGAAGGAUCGUUAAGGUACUGCAACCAGAGACUGGGACCACACCCGUGGAGAUCGCAGCGGCAGAAUGUCAGGAAACGAAUAAAAUAUGCUGUUAACAAGUCACAAGAAAAGAAGAGCAAGUUUCUGAAACAUCGAUAGCUCAGAUCAAAAUCAAUUUCUUAAAAAUUGUGGUUGAAGAAUCUUCGACGACAGCAGCGUUUAGAGUGCUAAAACGCGAAUUAUGUGGAUAAAUUAUAUAU